CACUCCUGCGGGAGGCAGCAGUGGGGAAUAUUGCACCAUGGGCGCAAGCCUGAUGCAGCCAUGCCGCGUGUAUGAAGAAGGCCUUCGGGUUGUAAAGUACUUUCAGCGGGGAGGAAGGCAAUACGGUUAAUAACCGUGUUGAUUGACGUUACCCGCAGAAGAAGCACCGGCUAACUCCGUGCCAGCAGCCGCGGUAAUACGGAGGGUGCAAGCGUUAAUCGGAAUUACUGGGCGUAAAGCGCACGCAGGCGGUCUGUCAAGUCGGAUGUGAAAUCCCCGGGCUCAACCUGGGAACUGCAUUCGAAACUGGCAGGCUUGAGUCUUGUAGAGGGGGGUAGAAUUCCAGGUGUAGCGGUGAAAUGCGUAGAGAUCUGGAGGAAUACCGGUGGCGAAGGCGGCCCCCUGGACAAAGACUGACGCUCAGGUGCGAAAGCGUGGGGAGCAAACAGGAUUAGAAACCCCUGUAGUCCCAUGA
Molecule: ribosomal RNA, 475 nt
Filed under: uncultured organism
Description: partial 16S ribosomal RNA
Rfam family: Bacterial small subunit ribosomal RNA
Source: RNAcentral